CAAACCUUGAAAUUUGGAUAUAGAUGGAAAAUAGGGACAUGAGACAAGAUUAGGUUUUGGGAAGAUACUUGGUUUGGAACCUCCCCCCUAGCAGUACAAUUCUAGCACAUCUACAUGAUUUGCAGUGAGCAAAACAAAAGUGUCAGAGAUGUCUGGGAUGGUGAAACACUGAAGUUG
Molecule: ribosomal RNA, 177 nt
Filed under: Triticum aestivum (bread wheat)
Lineage: Eukaryota; Viridiplantae; Streptophyta; Magnoliopsida; Poales; Poaceae
Description: partial small subunit ribosomal RNA
Source: RNAcentral